GAGUGGCGAACGGGUGAGUAAUACAUCGGAACGUGCCCAAUCGUGGGGGAUAACGCAGCGAAAGCUGUGCUAAUACCGCAUACGAUCUACGGAUGAAAGCAGGGGAUCGCAAGACCUUGCGCGAAUGGAGCGGCCGAUGGCAGAUUAGGUAGUUGGUGAGGUAAAGGCUCACCAAGCCUUCGAUCUGUAGCUGGUCUGAGAGGACGACCAGCCACACUGGGACUGAGACACGGCCCAGACUCCUACGGGAGGCAGCAGUGGGGAAUUUUGGACAAUGGGCGAAAGCCUGAUCCAGCCAUGCCGCGUGCAGGAUGAAGGCCUUCGGGUUGUAAACUGCUUUUGUACGGAACGAAACGGCCUUUUCUAAUAAAGAGGGCUAAUGACGGUACCGUAAGAAUAAGCACCGGCUAACUACGUGCCAGCAGCCGCGGUAAUACGUAGGGUGCAAGCGUUAAUCGGAAUUACUGGGCGUAAAGCGUGCGCAGGCGGUUAUGUAAGACAGUUGUGAAAUCCCCGGGCUCAACCUGGGAACUGCAUCUGUGACUGCAUAGCUAGAGUACGGUAGAGGGGGAUGGAAUUCCGCGUGUAGCAGUGAAAUGCGUAGAUAUGCGGAGGAACACCGAUGGCGAAGGC
This 633-nucleotide ribosomal RNA is filed under the name uncultured beta proteobacterium. RNAcentral describes it as "bacterial SSU rRNA". It matches the Rfam family "Bacterial small subunit ribosomal RNA", at positions 93 to 722 of the family's 1533-position model. Lineage: Bacteria; Pseudomonadati; Pseudomonadota; Betaproteobacteria. The record is from RNAcentral.